RNAcentral lists this ribosomal RNA (345 nucleotides) under uncultured Enterobacteriaceae bacterium. RNAcentral describes it as "bacterial SSU rRNA". It matches the Rfam family "Bacterial small subunit ribosomal RNA", at positions 1036 to 1382 of the family's 1533-position model. Lineage: Bacteria; Pseudomonadati; Pseudomonadota; Gammaproteobacteria; Enterobacterales; Enterobacteriaceae. The record is from RNAcentral.
AGGUGCUGCAUGGCUGUCGUCAGCUCGUGUUGUGAAAUGUUGGGUUAAGUCCCGCAACGAGCGCAACCCUUAUCCUUGUUGCCAGCGGUCCGGCCGGGAACUCAAAGGAGACUGCCAGUGAUAAACUGGAGGAAGGUGGGGAUGACGUCAAGUCAUCAUGGCCCUUACGACCAGGGCUACACACGUGCUACAAUGGCGCAUACAAAGAGAAGCGACCUCGCGAGAGCAAGCGGACCUCAUAAAGUGCGUCGUAGUCCGGAUUGGAGUCUGCAACUCGACUCCAUGAAGUCGGAAUCGCUAGUAAUCGUGGAUCAGAAUGCCACGGUGAAUACGUUCCCGGGCCUU